This 74-nucleotide transfer RNA is filed under the name Tetragenococcus halophilus. RNAcentral describes it as "tRNA-Pro". It matches the Rfam family "tRNA". From Rfam's summary of the family: Transfer RNA (tRNA) molecules are approximately 80 nucleotides in length. Their secondary structure includes four short double-helical elements and three loops (D, anti-codon, and T loops). Further hydrogen bonds mediate the characteristic L-shaped molecular structure. tRNAs have two regions of fundamental functional importance: the anti-codon, which is responsible for specific mRNA codon recognition, and the 3' end, to which the tRNAs corresponding amino acid is attached (by aminoacyl-tRNA synthetases). tRNAs cope with the degeneracy of the genetic code in two manners: having more than one tRNA (with a specific anti-codon) for a particular amino acid; and 'wobble' base-pairing, i.e. permitting non-standard base-pairing at the 3rd anti-codon position. RNAcentral also lists the same sequence under 11 other names. The record is from RNAcentral. Lineage: Bacteria; Bacillati; Bacillota; Bacilli; Lactobacillales; Enterococcaceae.
CGGGAAAUAGCUCAGUUUGGUAGAGCACUUGCUUCGGGAGUAAGGGGUCGCAGGUUCAAAUCCUGUUUUCCCGA